GAAAUGCGAUACGUCAUGCGAAUUGCAGAACUCAGUGAAUCAUCAAAUCUUUGAACGCAAAUGGCGCUCUCGGGUAUGCCCGGGAGCACGCCUCUCUCAGUAUCGGUUCUACACUCCUCCUGCUCGCAGCGAGGGACAUUGGGAGUCGAGCGGUCGCGCUCGUCUCCUUAACAUGUGGAAGGCAUCGCAGCGGCUGGUUGAGCCUCCGCUGCGCUCUGCGGCGCUAUCGCCUAGACUGACGUGAUUAAGCGGUUUAUACGCAUCUACGUCCUCCUAGCGCGCCGACAGUGAGCUGACCCAGCAAGAACAACAACGGCGACCUAGUCGCUCUGACUUUGAUCUGAGAUGAAGCGGGAAGACCCCCUGAAUUUAA
RNAcentral lists this unclassified non-coding RNA (373 nucleotides) under uncultured fungus. RNAcentral's name for it is "sequence contains ITS1". The stretch from base 1 to 105 matches the Rfam family "5.8S ribosomal RNA", at positions 50 to 154 of the family's 154-position model. Lineage: Eukaryota; Fungi. The record is from RNAcentral.